UAUCUACGCAUGCGCGGAUUAACUGCGUACAUAAAAGGCGGUGGGAUCGACACGAGUCACAAAGCGCCCAUUCCAGUAUCCAUACUGUACAUCUCAACAAUAUCUCCAGAUAAUCACACACAUCACCAGUUAGACAGCCACCAUGUCCGGUCAAGGAGGCAAAGUUCCUACACAGAAGGACAAUGACAAUCAUGCCGACCAAUGUAACCCCAACAGUACGAAGCACCAAGGUUAUAGCAGCCCAUUCAAGGGGGGCAAGAAUGAUGCCGAUAAUCACAGCGUCCAGCGAAAUCCAAACAACGACAAGUACACAGCCCCCAAAAAGUGAUAAACGGCUGGACAAUCCAGGAAUAUGAGACUAUGGCGUCUGAAAACAAAAUUUGAGAACAUUAACUUUUUUUAAAUGUACAAGAAAUUGCAUACCAGCAAAAAGUUUUGAUGUUGUGAAUCAAUUUAACCAUGUCUCUUAAUAAAACAUAUUGAUUUGA
Molecule: long non-coding RNA, 488 nt
Filed under: Mizuhopecten yessoensis (Yesso scallop)
Lineage: Eukaryota; Metazoa; Mollusca; Bivalvia; Pectinida; Pectinidae
Description: uncharacterized LOC110458084
Source: RNAcentral